This 461-nucleotide ribosomal RNA is filed under the name uncultured bacterium. RNAcentral describes it as "partial 16S ribosomal RNA". It matches the Rfam family "Bacterial small subunit ribosomal RNA", at positions 339 to 795 of the family's 1533-position model. The record is from RNAcentral.
CUACGGGGGGCACCAGUCGAGAAUCUUCGGCAAUGGACGCAAGUCCGACCGAGCGACGCCGCGUGCGGGAUGAAGGCCUUCGGGUUGUAAACCGCUGUCAGUGGGGAGGAAAUCCAGGGGAGUUAUCUCUUCUGGUUGACCUAUCUUCAGAGGAAGUGCGGGCUAAGUUCGUGCCAGCAGCCGCGGUAAGACGAACCGCACGAACGUUAUUCGGAAUCACUGGGCUUAAAGGGUGCGUAGGCGGCCGUGCAAGUUGGGUGUGAAAUCCCUCGGCAGAACCGGGGAAUGGCGCUCAAAACUGCUCGGCUCGAGGGAGACAGAGGUGAGCGGAACUUAGGGUGGAGCGGUGAAAUGCGUUGAUAUCCUGAGGAACACCAGUUGCGAAAGCGGCUCACUGGGUCUCUUCUGACGCUGAGGCACGAAAGCCAGGGGAGCGAACGGGAUUAGAUACCCCUGUAGUC